UUGCGGGGGGAUCACAUCAUGUGUUCACAUGCGACAUGGUGGGACUCCCCUGUAACC
RNAcentral lists this microRNA precursor (57 nucleotides) under Branchiostoma lanceolatum (amphioxus). RNAcentral describes it as "Bla-Mir-4872-P9b_pre stem-loop". Lineage: Eukaryota; Metazoa; Chordata; Leptocardii; Amphioxiformes; Branchiostomatidae. The record is from RNAcentral.